GGUUAAGCGACUAAGCGUACACGGUGGAUGCCCUGGCAGUCAGAGGCGAUGAAGGACGUGCUAAUCUGCGAUAAGCGUCGGUAAGGUGAUAUGAACCGUUAUAACCGGCGAUUUCCGAAUGGGGAAACCCAGUGUGUUUCGACACACUAUCAUUAACUGAAUCCAUAGGUUAAUGAGGCGAACCGGGGGAACUGAAACAUCUAAGUACCCCGAGGAAAAGAAAUCAACCGAGAUUCCCCCAGUAGCGGCGAGCGAACGGGGAGGAGCCCAGAGCCUGAAUCAGUGUGUGUGUUAGUGGAAGCGUCUGGAAAGGCGCGCGAUACAGGGUGACAGCCCCGUACACAAAAAUGCACAUGCUGUGAGCUCGAUGAGUAGGGCGGGACACGUGGUAUCCUGUCUGAAUAUGGGGGGACCAUCCUCCAAGGCUAAAUACUCCUGACUGACCGAUAGUGAACCAGUACCGUGAGGGAAAGGCGAAAAGAACCCCGGCGAGGGGAGUGAAAAAGAACCUGAAACCGUGUACGUACAAGCAGUGGGAGCACGCUUAGGCGUGUGACUGCGUACCUUUUGUAUAAUGGGUCAGCGACUUAUAUUCUGUAGCAAGGUUAACCGAAUAGGGGAGCCGAAGGGAAACCGAGUCUUAACUGGGCGUUAAGUUGCAGGGUAUAGACCCGAAACCCGGUGAUCUAGCCAUGGGCAGGUUGAAGGUUGGGUAACACUAACUGGAGGACCGAACCGACUAAUGUUGAAAAAUUAGCGGAUGACUUGUGGCUGGGGGUGAAAGGCCAAUCAAACCGGGAGAUAGCUGGUUCUCCCCGAAAGCUAUUUAGGUAGCGCCUCGUGAAUUCAUCUCCGGGGGUAGAGCACUGUUUCGGCAAGGGGGUCAUCCCGACUUACCAACCCGAUGCAAACUGCGAAUACCGGAGAAUGUUAUCACGGGAGACACACGGCGGGUGCUAACGUCCGUCGUGAAGAGGGAAACAACCCAGACCGCCAGCUAAGGUCCCAAAGUCAUGGUUAAGUGGGAAACGAUGUGGGAAGGCCCAGACAGCCAGGAUGUUGGCUUAGAAGCAGCCAUCAUUUAAAGAAAGCGUAAUAGCUCACUGGUCGAGUCGGCCUGCGCGGAAGAUGUAACGGGGCUAAACCAUGCACCGAAGCUGCGGCAGCGACGCUUAUGCGUUGUUGGGUAGGGGAGCGUUCUGUAAGCCUGUGAAGGUGUGCUGUGAGGCAUGCUGGAGGUAUCAGAAGUGCGAAUGCUGACAUAAGUAACGAUAAAGCGGGUGAAAAGCCCGCUCGCCGGAAGACCAAGGGUUCCUGUCCAACGUUAAUCGGGGCAGGGUGAGUCGACCCCUAAGGCGAGGCCGAAAGGCGUAGUCGAUGGGAAACAGGUUAAUAUUCCUGUACUUGGUGUUACUGCGAAGGGGGGACGGAGAAGGCUAUGUUGGCCGGGCGACGGUUGUCCCGGUUUAAGCGUGUAGGCUGGUUUUCCAGGCAAAUCCGGAAAAUCAAGGCUGAGGCGUGAUGACGAGGCACUACGGUGCUGAAGCAACAAAUGCCCUGCUUCCAGGAAAAGCCUCUAAGCAUCAGGUAACAUCAAAUCGUACCCCAAACCGACACAGGUGGUCAGGUAGAGAAUACCAAGGCGCUUGAGAGAACUCGGGUGAAGGAACUAGGCAAAAUGGUGCCGUAACUUCGGGAGAAGGCACGCUGAUAUGUAGGUGAAGCGACUUGCUCGUGGAGCUGAAAUCAGUCGAAGAUACCAGCUGGCUGCAACUGUUUAUUAAAAACACAGCACUGUGCAAACACGAAAGUGGACGUAUACGGUGUGACGCCUGCCCGGUGCCGGAAGGUUAAUUGAUGGGGUUAGCGCAAGCGAAGCUCUUGAUCGAAGCCCCGGUAAACGGCGGCCGUAACUAUAACGGUCCUAAGGUAGCGAAAUUCCUUGUCGGGUAAGUUCCGACCUGCACGAAUGGCGUAAUGAUGGCCAGGCUGUCUCCACCCGAGACUCAGUGAAAUUGAACUCGCUGUGAAGAUGCAGUGUACCCGCGGCAAGACGGAAAGACCCCGUGAACCUUUACUAUAGCUUGACACUGAACAUUGAGCCUUGAUGUGUAGGAUAGGUGGGAGGCUUUGAAGUGUGGACGCCAGUCUGCAUGGAGCCGACCUUGAAAUACCACCCUUUAAUGUUUGAUGUUCUAACGUUGACCCGUAAUCCGGGUUGCGGACAGUGUCUGGUGGGUAGUUUGACUGGGGCGGUCUCCUCCUAAAGAGUAACGGAGGAGCACGAAGGUUGGCUAAUCCUGGUCGGACAUCAGGAGGUUAGUGCAAUGGCAUAAGCCAGCUUGACUGCGAGCGUGACGGCGCGAGCAGGUGCGAAAGCAGGUCAUAGUGAUCCGGUGGUUCUGAAUGGAAGGGCCAUCGCUCAACGGAUAAAAGGUACUCCGGGGAUAACAGGCUGAUACCGCCCAAGAGUUCAUAUCGACGGCGGUGUUUGGCACCUCGAUGUCGGCUCAUCACAUCCUGGGGCUGAAGUAGGUCCCAAGGGUAUGGCUGUUCGCCAUUUAAAGUGGUACGCGAGCUGGGUUUAGAACGUCGUGAGACAGUUCGGUCCCUAUCUGCCGUGGGCGCUGGAGAACUGAGGGGGGCUGCUCCUAGUACGAGAGGACCGGAGUGGACGCAUCACUGGUGUUCGGGUUGUCAUGCCAAUGGCACUGCCCGGUAGCUAAAUGCGGAAGAGAUAAGUGCUGAAAGCAUCUAAGCACGAAACUUGCCCCGAGAUGAGUUCUCCCUGACCCUUUAAGGGUCCUGAAGGAACGUUGAAGACGACGACGUUGAUAGGCCGGGUGUGUAAGCGCAGCGAUGCGUUGAGCUAACCGGUACUAAUGAACCGUGAGGCUUAACCUU
RNAcentral lists this ribosomal RNA (2904 nucleotides) under Escherichia coli. RNAcentral describes it as "23S ribosomal RNA". It matches the Rfam family "Bacterial large subunit ribosomal RNA". Lineage: Bacteria; Pseudomonadati; Pseudomonadota; Gammaproteobacteria; Enterobacterales; Enterobacteriaceae. The record is from RNAcentral.